GACGAACGCUGGCGGCGUGCCUAAUACAUGCAAGUCGAGCGAAGUUUUUCUGGUGCUUGCACUAGAAAAACUUAGCGGCGAACGGGUGAGUAACACGUAAAGAACCUGCCUCAUAGACUGGGACAACUAUUGGAAACGAUAGCUAAUACCGGAUAACAGUAUUUCUCGCAUGAGAGAUAUUUAAAAGUUGGUUAUGCUAACACUAUGAGAUGGCUUUGUGGUGCAUUAGCUAGUUGGUGGGGUAAAGGCCCACCAAGGCGACGAUGCAUAGCCGACCUGAGAGGGUGAUCGGCCACACUGGGACUGAGACACGGCCCAGACUCCUACGGGAGGCAGCAGUAGGGAAUCUUCCGCAAUGGGCGAAAGCCUGACGGAGCAACGCCGCGUGAGUGUAGAAGGAUUUCGGUUCGUAAAGCUCUGUUGUUAGGGAAGAAUGGAUAUGUAGUAACUAUACAUGUAAGAGACGGUACCUAACCAGAAAGCCACGGCUAACUACGUG
RNAcentral lists this ribosomal RNA (499 nucleotides) under uncultured bacterium. Its description in RNAcentral is "partial 16S ribosomal RNA". It matches the Rfam family "Bacterial small subunit ribosomal RNA", at positions 28 to 507 of the family's 1533-position model. The record is from RNAcentral.